UGGGCUGCCCUUGGGAAAAGAGGAUCUAGGAUCCAGUUGGUGCAGCUUAUGGCUUGUCCCUGUGUGUAUAGUUGUUAAAUUAUUCUUUUAUUUUUAUUUUUAAGAAGUUAUUCUUUAGAUAAUAAUAGGCAUGUAGCUUAAAAGGAAACCUCAAAAGACACAAAGGAUUUGUCUCAUUUUAAAUUAAAAAAAUACUGUAUCAGCAUCAAGUAAUUAAACAUUUGUUGGAAUAUCA
This 235-nucleotide long non-coding RNA is filed under the name Homo sapiens (human). RNAcentral's name for it is "LHRI_LNC2029.1". Lineage: Eukaryota; Metazoa; Chordata; Mammalia; Primates; Hominidae. The record is from RNAcentral.